GUGCUCGCUUCGGCAGCACAUAUACUAAAAUUGGAAGGAUACAGAGAAGAUCAGCAUGACCCCUGAGCAAGGAUACAGGCAAAUUGGUGAAGGAUACACGCAAAAAUU
Molecule: small nuclear RNA, 108 nt
Organism: Dipodomys spectabilis (banner-tailed kangaroo rat)
Lineage: Eukaryota; Metazoa; Chordata; Mammalia; Rodentia; Heteromyidae
Source: RefSeq, a predicted model, not a curated record